RNAcentral lists this ribosomal RNA (905 nucleotides) under uncultured bacterium. RNAcentral describes it as "bacterial SSU rRNA". It matches the Rfam family "Bacterial small subunit ribosomal RNA", at positions 1 to 898 of the family's 1533-position model. The record is from RNAcentral.
CCCUUAGAGUUUGAUCCUGGCUCAGGAUGAACGCUAGCUACAGGCUUAACACAUGCAAGUCGAGGGGAAACGACAUCGAAAGCUUGCUUUUGAUGGGCGUCGACCGGCGCACGGGUGAGUAACGCGUAUCCAACCUGCCCACCACUUGGGGAUAACCUUGCGAAAGUAAGACUAAUACCCAAUGAUAUCUCUAGAAGACAUCUGAAAGAGAUUAAAGAUUUAUCGGUGAUGGAUGGGGAUGCGUCUGAUUAGCUUGUUGGCGGGGUAACGGCCCACCAAGGCUACGAUCAGUAGGGGUUCUGAGAGGAAGGUCCCCCACAUUGGAACUGAGACACGGUCCAAACUCCUACGGGAGGCAGCAGUGAGGAAUAUUGGUCAAUGGACGAGAGUCUGAACCAGCCAAGUAGCGUGCAGGAUGACGGCCCUAUGGGUUGUAAACUGCUUUUAUAAGGGAAUAAAGUUAGUCUCGUGAGACUUUUUGCAUGUACCUUAUGAAUAAGGACCGGCUAAUUCCGUGCCAGCAGCCGCGGUAAUACGGAAGGUCCGGGCGUUAUCCGGAUUUAUUGGGUUUAAAGGGAGCGUAGGCCGGAGAUUAAGCGUGUUGUGAAAUGUAGAUGCUCAACAUCUGCACUGCAGCGCGAACUGGUUUCCUUGAGUACGCACAAAGUGGGCGGAAUUCGUGGUGUAGCGGUGAAAUGCUUAGAUAUCACGAAGAACUCCGAUUGCGAAGGCAGCUCACUGGAGCGCAACUGACGCUGAAGCUCGAAAGUGCGGGUAUCGAACAGGAUUAGAUACCCUGGUAGUCCGCACGGUAAACGAUGGAUGCCCGCUGUUGGUCUGAAUAGGUCAGCGGCCAAGCGAAAGCAUUAAGCAUCCCACCUGGGGAGUACGCCGGCAACGGUGAA